ACCCAACCUACACUACAAUCGGCCCUAGAGCUUUGCAUCAAAAUUGAUGAUAAAAUUUCCCUUUUUCAUCUAUCGAUUCAAAAAUUGAUAGCCAAUGGAGUCUUCUUCUUCUUCUUCUUCUUCAUCUUCAUCUUCAACAUUCUAUGUUUCUCAUUUUGACUAUCUCAUUCUAUUCUUUCUUCGUCCCCUUCUCGCCAUCUCCUUCGUGCUCUCCUUAAUUCUCCUCGGUUGGUUCUUGGCGUGGAAGCUAGUUCUGGUUCAUGUUCCUCUGGUUCAAGAAAUCUUCGGCCUGC
Molecule: non-coding RNA, 293 nt
Organism: Camellia sinensis
Lineage: Eukaryota; Viridiplantae; Streptophyta; Magnoliopsida; Ericales; Theaceae
Source: RefSeq, a predicted model, not a curated record